GGAUUAGAUACCCUGGUAGUCCACGCCGUAAACGAUGUGUGCUAGGUGUUGGAGGCGUUUACCCCUUCAGUGCCGCAGUUAACGCAUUAAGCACACCGCCUGGGGAGUACGGUCGCAAGAUUAAAACUCAAAGGAAUUGACGGGGGCCCGCACAAGCGGUGGAGUAUGUGGUUUAAUUCGACGCAACGCGCAGAACCUUACCCGGCCUUGACAGCCUGGGAACAUCUGUGAAAGCAGGUGGUGCCCCCUUACGGGGGAACUCAGGUACAGGUGCUGCAUGGCUGUCGUCAGCUCGUGCUG
This 300-nucleotide ribosomal RNA is filed under the name uncultured bacterium. RNAcentral describes it as "bacterial SSU rRNA". It matches the Rfam family "Bacterial small subunit ribosomal RNA", at positions 775 to 1067 of the family's 1533-position model. The record is from RNAcentral.